AUUGAACGCUGGCGGCAGGCCUAACACAUGCAAGUCGAACGGUAACAGGAAGCAGCUUGCUGCUUUGCUGACGAGUGGCGGACGGGUGAGUAAUGUCUGGGAAACUGCCCGAUGGAGGGGGAUAACUACUGGAAACGGUAGCUAAUACCGCAUAACGUCGCAAGACCAAAGAGGGGGACCUUAGGGCCUCUUGCCAUCGGAUGUGCCCAGGUGGGAUUAGCUAGUAGGUGGGGUAACGGCUCACCUAGGCGACGAUCCCUAGCUGGUCUGAGAGGAUGACCAGCCACACUGGAACUGAGACACGGUCCAGACUCCUACGGGAGGCAGCAGUGGGGAAUAUUGCACAAUGGGCGCAAGCCUGAUGCAGCCAUGCCGCGUGUAUGAAGAAGGCCUUCGGGUUGUAAAGUACUUUCAGCGGGGAGGAAGGGAGUAAAGUUAAUACCUUUGCUCAUUGACGUUACCCGCAGAAGAAGCACCGGCUAACUCCGUG
Molecule: ribosomal RNA, 490 nt
Filed under: uncultured bacterium
Lineage: Bacteria
Description: partial 16S ribosomal RNA
Rfam family: Bacterial small subunit ribosomal RNA
Source: RNAcentral